UGGGGAAUUUUGCACAAUGGGGGAAACCCUGAUGCAGCGACGCCGCGUGAUUUAGAAGGCCUUCGGGUUGUAAAAAUCUUUUGUAUGGGAAGAAAAUGACAGUACCAUACGAAUAAGGACCGGCUAAUUACGUGCCAGCAGCCGCGGUAAUACGUAAGGUCCGAGCGUUGUCCGGAAUCAUUGGGCGUAAAGGGUACGUAGGCGGAUAAGCAAGUUAGAAGUGAAAUCCUAUAGCUCAACUAUAGUAAGCUUUUAAAACUGCUCAUCUUGAGGUAUGGAAGGGAAAGUGGAAUUCCUAGUGUAGCGGUGAAAUGCGCAGAUAUUAGGAGGAAUACCGGUGGCGAAGGCGACUUUCUGGCCAUAAACUGACGCUGAGGUACGAAAGCGUGGGUAGCAAACAGGAUUAGAUACCCUGGUAGUCCACGCCGUAAACGAUGAGUGUUAGGUGUCUGGAAUAAUCUGGGUGCCGCAGCUAACGCAAUAAACACUCCGCCUGGGGAGUACGCACGCAAGUGUG
Molecule: ribosomal RNA, 517 nt
Filed under: uncultured bacterium
Lineage: Bacteria
Description: bacterial SSU rRNA
Rfam family: Bacterial small subunit ribosomal RNA
Source: RNAcentral